GGCAGAGGAGGCCCCGAGAGUGAGCGAGGGCUGUGAGGGCUGCCAGCACGCUGUCACCUUUCAUUAGGACCUGCUAAUUGGUUUCACAUGUGUGUGGAACCAUCCCAGGACUGGAUUCCAAUAUGAGGAGAGAAAUGGGUUAUUUCACUGAAAGGUAUGACUGAGUUAGACUGAAGAAACUCUUAUAUGACACUGUACUAUGGCUUUAAUGAGCAUUAGUGUUAGGAUGACAUUUUGUUUAGAGAGAUAUUGAUGGUAAAAAAGAAAAGGAUUUGAACUCCAGUUCACCAUUUCCUAAGCAUGACCUUGAGCUAUUCAUUCACUCUAUGUAGUCAUUUAAUAAAUAUUUAUUGAGCCCUAUAUAGGCCAAGCACUCUGUGAGGUGAUGGAAAUUCUCCUGCCCUCAAAAAGUAACAGUAAUUAUUAUUUGCAAUCUACCUCCCUAAGGCAUAACAAUGCCUAUCUUUCAGAGUUAUGUGUAAUAGGAUUUGUAAGUGGAUUUUUUUUUGUCUCAUAAUUGUCUACUUGGCUCCAAAGUUAGAGACAAAUAGGUGAAAAUUAGGAGACAAAUAGAUGAUUGGUAAACACCAGUCAUUAAGAGGCAAAUUCAUUCUGCUACUCCGCUUACCACUGUACUCACUAAUCUUGAGGGGACUACUGAAUUGUAAAUCUUCAGCCUCAGAAAGGGUUCUGUGUCUUUUCCUUUUACUCUUUCUCAGUGCCCCUUAUGCAUAAUCCAAUGGAGUAUUCCAAGGAAAAUAUUUUUAAUGACUGGGGGUUGCCUGCAAUAAGUUGAGCCUGAAAUCUCAUUUUUCAGUUGGAUACCUACUCAUGUCAUGGAUCUGUAGUAUUCUUUUUGCUUACUCCAGCAGUAGGAAAUAAUAUAGGGACAGAACUCAAGAGAGAGAAAAUGAGCAAUAGGGCAAUGAGGCACACUCCCAUUGUCUGGUAGAAAAAAGAUGCAUGAGUCUUCCAUAUGUCAAGUAGAUACUACAAAGGUACCAGGCUUGAACUAUUGUGAAGCAAGUUCAUCCUAGACUGUGACUUACUAAGAGAAGAGACCCCAGCAGCAAAAGCCUGUAAGGUGAGUUAUGCAGGAAAUAAGGAGACUGGAAGAGGUCUACAGGAGUCGAUUUCCUAUGAAAGGAGGUUGUGCAAUGAAGAGACUGCCUGCUACAUGGAGGACAGAGGUCACAACAACAACUGGUAAGCAAAACAUUUCUGCUGACUUUUGAGAAUUCUCUCUUCUUCCUCAACAUAGAAAGGGCUCAGAAAAUGCAAAAGGGAGGGGAAAGAGUUACGAGUAGCCUCCUCUCACUGCCACUGUGUCCUGGGGAGGAGAUGGACAUUUGAAUUGGACAAGAAACUGAAGUGGAUGGCACUGGAUUGCCUCUUUUCCACUCUUUUCCAGCCUAAAAAGUUCACAAAAUUGGCAUUUGCUGGAGAAGCCAUGAAGUCUUGGGAAAGGGAGAUUCGACAGAGCAUGUUACAGCCACAAUAGGAGAAAAAAACCUUCUCAGGUUUGAACCCUGCUGAGUUCACAGUUUUCAAUAAAUUGCUGACAAAUGCAAGGUGUUCAGACAAGUAGGUAGUGCUCCACAAAUAGUAGAUAUUAUUCUAGUCACCUAGAGAGAAUAAAUGUUCAGAAAAUGUCUACGUAUGUUUUGCUAUCAAAGAGCGAAUAAGAUAUUCAAUUUGUAUUUUUGCUUUAGAUAAAGCAUAAUGCCCUUAUUAUGCCUUCAAGUCUUCAUUUCCCCCACGAAGGGACGUUUUUCUGUGUUAUUUGACCAUAUGCCUUUUGCUACGCUGGGCAUUUGCCUUCUUUGACCUUUUCUGGACAUUCCCACUUUACCCGCCAGGGAUUGAGGAGAUUACAAAGGUCAUCUAAUCAUCUAGUCUCGUUUCCAAUUUGGUUAAGAUAAAAUAUUAUUUAAUUACUAGAAAAAUACUUUGUUAUUAAAAUCAAAGUGUCUUGUGCUGGUUUGCAAACAAAGUAAUUUCUACACGCUUAUAACACAAAGAGGAGACCAGAUGUGGUGAAGUAGAAGAGAGAGGACACUGGCUUUGGAGCCAGGGGACCCAGAGCGGCUCCCAGUAAUGUGAUAUUUUAUGUGUUUUCCAACCCCAUGCAGCAUCCAUUGCCUCACCUGUAAAAUAGGGGUUUUGACAAGGACCACAUCGAGUUAUUGUGAAGAGUAAAUAGAUGAUUAUAGAAAACAUGUCACACAGUGCUAGGCACAUAGAUGAAGCUUAAGGAAUAGCUGUUGUCCCGUUUCCAAGGUUGCAGAGUCAGAAGACACCCCUAAGAAGACAUAAAGUACUGUUGUUCAGAAGGAAGGCAUUGGGAAAGUCAAAAGGACACCAGAAAUAGUGAACUCAACAUUGAUUUGCACAUUUGACCAAGGUUGGUGGUCAUUUACGCAGCAGUAUUGAGAUGAUCCAUAGAAAGUCAUGAUAACACUAUUGGAGCAAAGUCACAAUAUUUGUAUUUUCAUAUGUAUCUCAUGAUGUAUAUAAGUACUCAUUUUAACACCCAUUGUUUAAAAACUGUUCAGAAUUCAGAAAAAUUAAAAAAUCAUUUAAACUAAAUAUUACAUUAUUGACUAUAACUUAAAUUUCAAAAUGUAAACAUUAACCAUCUAUUAUAAUUUGAAUUAGCAGGAUAAAAAGCAAUACAAAAGUAUAUAAAAUAAAGUAAACAUUGCACAAAAUGAAGAAAAUGAAUCCUGAAAAUUGAAAAUGAAUUAAAUUGGAUUUUCUGGCAAAUAUGAUCUUAAGAACAACGUGUAUCAAUGGUGUUAUCUUCGAUGGUGAGCCUCAUUUUGGGGCAUAUUCUUCUAGCCACUGGAAACACUUUCCAUAAUUUAAAAUAGACAGAAAAAUAGUGACGAGACAAAAAGCAACUAAGUCCAAAUAUCUUCCUCUGGAACUUUUAUUUACAAAUGAUUCCAUCUUUUUGUGAGAGUAUAAAGAUGAUCUUUUAGAAAUUUUUAUUUUUAUUGUAUUAAAGACUACGAUGUCUUUAUUGACAGCUGUAGUUUUUGUUAUUAAGGCCCAGAAGUCAGCUUACUGGAUGCCUGGUUCUUAGCUUUUGCUGUGAAAUAGCCUUUUUUGAAACAAAACAAAUCCAUCAGACAGGCAAGAGCUUCUACCACCAAACACUGACUGUUUUAGCUAUCAAUCUUACCCCAUUGGAGGCAGCCUUAUAUUGAGAGUAAGACGGACUCCUUUUUCCUUAUAAUUGUCUUUUAAGGAGGUCCUAUUUCAUUAAAUAUUCAGGGAAAAUUGUUUUUUGUUUGUUUGUUUGUUUGUUUUUUAAAAACCUUCUUUCAGGAAGUAGAACUAGGGUGAAUUUAAUCUGGGAAAAUUUGGGCUACUGUCCCAGUCAUCUUUGCUUUCUAGCUCAGAGGCCUUGAGAGAUCGUAAGGUCUCUCUUUUAAUGCUGGGUUUAACUCUCUGGUAAUUCUCAAAGUAUAAAUAAUUCAUGUCUCAGGUUUUAAAAAUGUUAAAAUAAUGAUAUCACACUAACAAAAUAUUGGCGUUUGGGUACAUAAGAGUCUGUAGUAUGAUCUACUAGAGUUCUAGAAUGUUGAACAUUGAUGGUGCAAUUAUUAAUUAAAAUUAUCUUGCUCAGAAGGUUUUCCUCCAUUAAACUACACUUUUUAGAGUAAGCUCACUUUGGUUUAAGGCACCUGUUCAUAGGAUGUCCUUAAAUAUAUGAAUAUUGCCCUGGGAGUUACCCUUUUAGUCAUUAAUAACUGGGCAUAAAUCACUUAUCUGCCAGGUAAUCAAGAACAGGACCCAGAACAAGUGUUUUUCUUUCUUUCUUUCUUUCUUUUUUUCUUAGGCUGGAGCAGUGGAAAGAGAACUAUGCACAAGGAUGAGGAGAAUAAUUGUGAUUGUGGGACAGGGCCCCAGGAGAGAGGUAUAGCAGACUGGCCUUGGAAAGCCUGCAGCUGCAUCAGGAAGGCAAAGCAUGCUUGGAAAAAAUGCUGACUGAAACAGCUGCUGGGUUAGUAACUAACUCCAACUUAGUUACUGGAGCUGCUGCUGUUUCUGCUGUGAUGAGAGGGAAAGCCUUCUGUAUCCCUGCACACUUUAAGCAGGUAAAUGUUAGAUUGCUGCAUCAGCUCCUGGACUCUGCAUAACUUCUGAUGUCCUUCUGGUAAACCUUGAUCCCUUAUUGCAUCAUGUGACCUCCUCUCCCCCAGCUCUAGCUCUGCCUAGCCGGUAAGUAAAAGGUUAUUUUCAAGAAGCUGCAGUUAGAUAAGUAAAUAACAACUUGUACCUAAUUUCAUAUUUUAUCUGAAGGUGUGCGGAAGGUAAUACACCCAGAAACAUUAAAUAACUGGUUUACAUCUAAACGGUUUUUGACUAAAACCUUAAAGCUAGACCUAUCAAAGGGCUCAACAGAAUAAAAAGUGUUUCCCUUUGAAGAAUUCUGUGUCCUUAGAAGGCAUUUAGGUUAUGGUAGAAAUGGGUUUUCUUUCAAUAACUUUAAGAGGAAAAAUUACUUAAGACUGGUAACUUAAGACUGACACUAUGUGAAAGAAGCAAAGGUGACAUUUGAAGUAAUCAAUUAUCAGAGGCUUUUUAAUAACAUUCCAGUGACCAGUCUUGAUGUCUUGAUAUUUCUCACCAAAAGCAAGGAUAGUUAUUUGCGGAAAUCUCAACCCAAAGUAAACUUAUAUUGGCUAUGCUGAAAUAAUUUAAAAGAUAUGAACUGUUUUCUACAUCCGUACUAUUUUAAGUGUCAUCAGCAACAUUCAUAUUACCCAGGAAACUGUUAGAAAUUCAGUCUUAGGCCCCACCCUAGACUUACUGAAUCAAUAUCUGCAUUUUGACAUUGCCAGGUCAUUUUUAAGCACAUUAGAGUUUCUAAUGUCCUGUUCUAGAUGCUGUAAAAUUAUUCAUAAGGUCACUUGUUGAAAUGAUUGCAUUCAGCACUUAAAUAUGUUAUGGACAAUGUCCAUUAAGGAUCAGCAAAUACUUAUUUGUGUCCAUAUUAGUGAUAUUAUUAUAUGAGUUUUUAAUUUAUGUUAUAUGGGUUAUUAAUUUAGUCAAUGUUUCUUGUUCUAAUAAAGGGCUCUGAUUUUAAACCAUUUUAUCCAAUGGUUUUCUUGAGCUUCCUAAAGUGGUAAACAGUCUCUGUUUUCUUCUUAUAUGUUCUUGUAGCUAAUUGUUUUAAUCAUCUUUUUGUUGUUACUUCAGCCUCAGUGAUGGGUUACUAUUUAAGGAUUCUCUAAAAGCCUUCUAAUAUACCCUCAAUGUGGUUCUGGCAGACUCUGUCUACCUGACAGCCAUUUCCACAUUCUCCUUUGUUUACAGAGCCACAGUUUGGUUGUGUUGUAGUGUUUUUAUUCCUAGUCUAAGAAAAUCAUGAUGAUCUUAUGUUCCUUUGCCAUAUACUUAAUUUUUCAUUUUUGUUUAUAGCUGAGGGUGAUCACAUGACUGAGAUCUGACCAAAAUGGGGUUUAAGUAGAGGCUUAUGAGAAAGUCUUUGUUCCAUAAUAAAACAGACAGGGAUGAAAAAGAUAGCUUAUUGGCUCCUGUGAUCCUUUCUUUCAGCCUACACACAGACAGGAUGCUUGGUGCUAUGACAGCCAUCUUGAAGCCAUGAAAUCAUAAAAACAAGGACAAAAAGUCAACUUACUGAGAAUGGUAGAGAGGAAGAAUAGAAAGACCCAAUUCCUAGUGACAGCAUUAAGUCACUACUUAUGUCCUGAACUCUGUAUCCAGAGUUCAGAUUUUGUAAAAACAAAGCAAAAAAGAAAACAGAAACAACCCUAUCUAUUUAUGUUAUUAUUAAUUUACUUUGUUAUUUGCUGCUGAAAGCGUUCCUAACUGGUAUAAAUAAGAAGGACUAAAGAACUUACCCUCGUCAGAGAUUUACUCUGUAAGUGAGCAUGGUUGUUGAAUAUGUGACCAGUCUAAGUAGUGAGGCAACACAGAGUGGAAGAAUAUCUGGAUUUUGUUAUUGGCUCCUGUACUUCUCAGCUGUGUACAAAGCAAACCUUGCUUUACAGGAACUUUGGCUCUCUAUUUACAAGGUCAGUGUCAACUCCUAGUGCCUUUUUUUAAUUUUUCUGGCAAAAGGGAAAUGGGCUAAGUUCUAGGAAUUUUCCUUUAUGUGAGUAUAUGAGGUUUUCUAAAACUUUCUAGGGAGUCAAAUGUUUUCCUUGCUAUUGGUUGCUUCUGAUAAAUUAGGUUUAAUCACAGUAUAUUCCUAGUAGUAGGUUUUUGAUUUUUGAAAUGGUGAUUUUUCUUUCUCUUUUGGGGAUGAAAAAGAAAAAUGAAAGCUUAAUGAUAUUUUCUUUCAAAGCAACCGUCUUCUUUUUCAAGAUAAACAAAAUAUUAUGCUAAAUUGAAACCAAUUUUAUGAAAUUAUAUUUUAAAAAAGGAUUUCAAAAAGCCAUAUCUAAGUCUUUUGAGGAAAAUGGAAACAUUAUAAGAAAAAUAACAAAGCAGCAUUUGUAGUAUUUUAGGUCUAGUAGACUUAGGUAAAAUUUAAUGCACGCUUUUCAACCUGGUUGGCUUUAAUAGUCCACAGAUAUCCUGGCUGAAUCCACCAAGGUUUUUAACAAUUUGAAUUUGCUACCAAUAGUUCCUUUUUUCUCAUCUCACCUUACACUGUCUCCAUGUCCUGAUGUGCUUCAACUCAGAAGCACUGGAACUCUCUUGAUACCAAAGUUGUGUUAUGGUGUGUGAUAAGGUUGAUGAUGGUGGGUGUUAUGGGUUGAAUUGCAUCCCCCAAAAAAGAUAUUGAAGUCCUACCCUCCAGGACCUGUGAUUGUCACCUUAUUUGGAAAUAAGUUCUUUAUAGAUGAUCAAGUUAAGAUGAGGUCAUUGGGGUGGGCCUUAAUCUAAUAUGACUGGGUUCAUAUAAGAUAGAAUAGAAACGGAAGGAAGAGAAGAUGGUGUGAAUACACAGGGAGAGCACCGUCAACAAGUGAAGGAACUCCUGAGGCUCCUGAUGCUAAGAGAGAGAGACAUGGAAGACAUUCUCCCUCACAGCCCCCAGAAAGAAUCAACUUCUCUCAUACUUUAAUUUUGGACUCCAAACUCUCAGAACAAUACAGUUCUGUUGUUUAAGCCACCCAAUUUGUGCUUUCUUACAGCAGUCCCUGGAAAGUAAUACAGUGGAGGAGGACCCCCAUGAUUACAUUCUGCGAGAGGAGUUCCUAAGCAUUGCAGCAUGAAAAACAGUGCUUAAAAGCUUAAGCAAUAUUUUUCAAAAUAUUGACCUAUCUCAGUAGGAACUGAGAUAGGCAACAAAUCUGACUGACAGAAUACAUUUCAAACUUUCAAAAUUGUGUCUUCCUCUUACUGUGGGUCCUUACCCCUGAACAAAGUUCAUCACACCUGGCUUCACGUUGCAGGGUAUAUUUUUUUGAUGCCUGCCUUAUCUGGCUUCCAGUCAUGCCCUGGAAUUUGAGUGUCUCUCAAAUGUAAAAAUCAAAAAGUAUAUUGUAAAAAUGUCUAUACUAUGCAAAGUAAUAUACAGAUUCAAUGCAAUUUCUAUCAAGAUUCCAAUGACAUUUUUCACAGAAAUAGAAAAAAAUCU
Molecule: long non-coding RNA, 7564 nt
Organism: Homo sapiens (human)
Lineage: Eukaryota; Metazoa; Chordata; Mammalia; Primates; Hominidae
Exons: 3
Source: RefSeq, a predicted model, not a curated record